GAUGAACGCUGGCGGCGUGCCUAAUACAUGCAAGUCGAGCGAACAGACGAGGAGCUUGCUCCUCUGACGUUAGCGGCGGACGGGUGAGUAACACGUGGAUAACCUACCUAUAAGACUGGGAUAACUUCGGGAAACCGGAGCUAAUACCGGAUAAUAUAUUGAACCGCAUGGUUCAAUAGUGAAAGACGGUUUUGCUGUCACUUAUAGAUGGAUCCGCGCCGCAUUAGCUAGUUGGUAAGGUAACGGCUUACCAAGGCAACGAUGCGUAGCCGACCUGAGAGGGUGAUCGGCCACACUGGAACUGAGACACGGUCCAGACUCCUACGGGAGGCAGCAGUAGGGAAUCUUCCGCAAAGGGCGAAAGCCUGACGGAGCAACGCCGCGUGAGUGAUGAAGGUCCUCGGAUCGUAAAACUCUGUUAUUAGGGAGGAACAAAUGUGUAAGUAACUAUGCACGUCUUGACGGUACCUAAUCAGAAAGCCACGGCUAACUACGUG
Molecule: ribosomal RNA, 497 nt
Filed under: uncultured bacterium
Lineage: Bacteria
Description: partial 16S ribosomal RNA
Rfam family: Bacterial small subunit ribosomal RNA
Source: RNAcentral